AAACCUGCCUCAUAGACUGGGACAACUAUUGGAAACGAUAGCUAAUACCGGAUAACAGCAUUAACUGCAUGGUUGAUGUUUGAAAGUUGGUUUUGCUAACACUAUGAGAUGGCUUUGCGGUGCAUUAGCUAGUUGGUGGGGUAAAGGCCUACCAAGGCGACGAUGCAUAGCCGACCUGAGAGGGUGAUCGGCCACACUGGGACUGAGACACAGCCCAG
This 218-nucleotide ribosomal RNA is filed under the name uncultured bacterium. RNAcentral's name for it is "partial 16S ribosomal RNA". It matches the Rfam family "Bacterial small subunit ribosomal RNA", at positions 122 to 334 of the family's 1533-position model. The record is from RNAcentral.